RNAcentral lists this non-coding RNA (30 nucleotides) under Mus musculus (house mouse). Lineage: Eukaryota; Metazoa; Chordata; Mammalia; Rodentia; Muridae. The record is from RNAcentral.
UAUGAGACAACACUUUCUCUUGGAGUCCCA